RNAcentral lists this transfer RNA (76 nucleotides) under Marmota monax (woodchuck). RNAcentral describes it as "tRNA.Ala". Lineage: Eukaryota; Metazoa; Chordata; Mammalia; Rodentia; Sciuridae. The record is from RNAcentral.
GGGGAUGUAGCUCAGUGACAGAGCCCAUGCCACGCUAGCAUGUGUGAGACCCUGGGUUCAAUCCUCAGUAUCUUAA